RNAcentral lists this long non-coding RNA (1009 nucleotides) under Gallus gallus (chicken). Its description in RNAcentral is "lncRNA (ENSGALG00000054400.1)". The record is from RNAcentral. Lineage: Eukaryota; Metazoa; Chordata; Aves; Galliformes; Phasianidae.
AUUCAAGGUACACAAAAGAAAUGCUGUAGUGGUAAAAUUUACUGGGGCAAGGAAUAAUUAUUCCACUUCACAUGGACAGAGCCAAGUCUUUAGGACAAUGCCAGCUGGGAAACUUUCCUGGGAUGAAAGAUCAAAGCAUCUACUCUGAAAACAGAGUGUGAAACAGUAAAGGACCAGCUUUUCAAAGGAGCUCUCCUCAUGUCCUUGCUCUACGAUUCACAGCUGAGUUUUCAGAGACAAGGAAUCAGGCCGCACUGAAAUCUGGAGCUGCACUGCUGACAUCAUCAAGGCCAUGUUUUCAUUCCAAGCAUGCUGAUCCCUUUGGAAUAAAUGCAUAUGAGAAGUACUGUGACAUCCCCGGUUCUUGAAAUUUCUUGAAAACACAAAGAUGUGGUGUAAAUGCCAGAUCUCCUUCCAACAAUUCUAACACUUCCUCUAUUUGAUUAAGUCUGUCUGUCUGCUUAAACACAGAAAGAAAUGUGUGAGCUAUAGUGUUGCGGUAGGGAGAGUUAAUAUGGUUAACAAAGGUUUAAGCAGUGCAGACAGAGGCAGGUAGGGAGCAGCGCAGUUUAAAUAUUUUAUAAUAAAUAUAUAAUAAUAAAUUAAUAAAAUAAUAAUAAAUAAAUAUAAAUAUAAGUAUAAAUUAUUAAAUAAUUUUCAAAUAGAAUUUGAAGACUUCAGAAGGAGUUAUAAAUUCUUCAAGAGCUCAAGCCUAAACUGUUAUGUUGUGAUGAACCUACUGUCCUUUUUGUUUGUUUGUUUAAGUGCAGAUUUAUUUUAUUCCUUGAUAACUUUGUGAAAGAAAGCAACAGGAAAACAUUGUCGUUAACAGUUGCAAAAUAAUUGAUUUGAUAUUAGUAAUAAUUCCAUGACUUGUAAAGUAUUUUUAUGAAUAACUUUUGACCCAUUCUAUUUCUCAGAUCACAUUGAUAUCCACAUAGAAUUCAGGAAUAAGCUUCUUACUCUGUACUCUUAAAUGUUCUGCUUAAUUACAUCUCCCAUAAUACCU